This 407-nucleotide ribosomal RNA is filed under the name uncultured bacterium. RNAcentral's name for it is "partial 16S ribosomal RNA". It matches the Rfam family "Bacterial small subunit ribosomal RNA", at positions 30 to 526 of the family's 1533-position model. The record is from RNAcentral.
AUUGAACGCUGGCGGCAGGCCUAACACAUGCAAGUCGAGCGGAGCGGCGGACGGGUGAGUAAUGCCUAGGAAUCUGCCUGGUAGUGGGGGAUAACGUCCGGCAACGGGCGCUAGUACCGCAUAAUAUCAGAUGAGCCUAGGUCGGAUUAGCUGGUUGGUGGGGUAAAGGCCUACCAAGGCGAAGGUCCGUAACUGGUAUGAGAGGAUGAUCAGUAACACUUGAACUGAGACACUGUCCAGACGCCUACGUGAGGCGGCAGUGGGGAAUAUGGGACAAUGGGCUAAAGCCUGAUCCAGCCAUGCCGCGUGUGUGAAGAAGGUCUUCGGAUUGUAAAGCACUUUAAGUUGGGAGGCGUUACCAACAGAAUAAGCACCGGCAAACUUCGUGCCAGCCGCCGCGGUAAUUC